UGCGGAGUUGGAAGGUUUGUUGCUUGGUUUCGCCUGUUGGGGAAGAGAGAAUCUGCGUCGCGGUUGGUUGUGGUGAAUUUAGAAGAGCAAACCGUGGCGGCGGCGAUGUCGGUGAACAAAGGUGGAUUCGCCUGAGUGUGAAGGAGUUCGGUUAUUGACACGGGGGUGAGGUCUGGAAUUUAUCGCCGGAAUAUAUGAGGAAGACGGAGGAUGGUUCAAAAUUGACGGUGGUUGAGCGAUGAUGCGGCGACGUAGUGGUAGUGGUGGCGAUUCACGGCGGUUAUUCUAGGUUGUUUCGGCGGAAGCGAAAAUGAGGUGUUAGUGUGGUGAAAGUGUGGAAGACGACGGAGUAUUUGAAGAAGAGGAAUGGUGAUGGUUAAGGGUGAGGCGCUCAGGGAAAGAUCCAGAGGCUUCUUCUCUUUUUCCGUUUUAAUCCUUUUCUUUAUUCUUUGAGAGAGAGAGUAAGUUAGUGUCUGUUGGUCCCUUUGUGAAGUCAGCAGAAUGAGUAAAAUAUAACAAUAUCCACGGACAAAACCUUAUUCUUUUCUUUAGGUAGGUGGCGUGUAGAGUGAGGGAAACGUGAGGUGAGAGAGAAAAGACAGAGUGGGAAGUGUGAAUACCAGCUGUAACAAAAUAGGAAUCGCAAUGCUAAUUUCAUUUUAUUUUUUAAAACAACUACUAUUAUUUAAAAUUUUCUAUUAAAAUUUCUAAUAAGUAUUUUGAUUUGAAUAAAUUUUAAUUACUUUAGUUGAAUAAUUAACCUAAAAAAAUUAUCGAUUAUAAAUAAAAGCCGAAUAUAAAUUUGCUCGAAAAAUUAAAUCGGGCACACUAAAAUGAUCAGCACAAAUAUACUUAUUGAAAAAAUACAACGUUCUUUAAAUUUGAAAUAAAUUUUCACCGGUUAAAAGGCUCAGGUGGGUCAAACGCAACUGAAACAGCUGCUGAAAAAUACAACGAGCACACCAGGUUUAAACUACAUGAACCGUAGAUUAAUAAUACUGGCGUCUGCAAUUUUAAUUUCGAAACUUUUUACCCGCUGGUUUUGCACGUACUUGAGAAAUGAUUUAACCAAAUUGUCUGUAUUUUCAAGAAUUUAUUCCGACUGAUAUUUUAGAUAUUAUUAAUGAUGAAAUGCAUGUUAUGCUGUACAACUGAUGCAAAUUGAAAUAAAAAUCGAAUUUAUGAAAUUUUUAAAAUGCCCGGACAAAAUUGGGGUAUGACAGCUACCCCUAUUUCAUUAUCUUGAACUAGAAGGUAAGAAUGACAACAGUCUUCAUACAUUCGUAGUGGAAGGUAAUUAAAUACGAAAAGACCCAAAUUUUGUCCCUUGAAAUGCAAGGAAGAAGUGCAGAAACAAAAUGCAGUAAGAAAAAUUAUCAAAAGGUAAAAUGAAACAGUCAAGACUCUCUGGGAAUCGUCAGAACAGUAUCUUGGAUGUCAUGAUCAAGAUAUUCCAAUAAUGGAAUGAUACGUCAACUGUAUCUAAGACUUUCUGAAAAUUAGCAGAACAUUGUCUUGAACUGAAAACACGAUAUUCUCUAGGGAUCAACGAAGCAGUUUCUUACAUGAUAUAAUUGAGACAUUUCAACAAGGGAGUGAUACCUCAACCGAAUCUAAGAUUCUCCGAGGAUACUAGAGCAAUAUCUUUAAAAGAAAUCUGGAAUGAGACUCUUCAUAUUGAUGAAGCAGCAUCUCAACAGUAAAAGUGAGAUUCUCUGUAUCGAGUCGAAGCAGCAUCUUAUAUGAUAAAAUUAAGAUAUUCCGAACAAGGGAAUGAUACCUUAAUUGAAUCUAAGACUAUCCGAGGAUACUUAGAGCAGUAUCUCUAAAAAAUCUGAAAUGAGACUCUUCAUAUUGAUGAAGCAGUAUCUCAAACAGUAAAAAUGAGAUUCUCUGUAUCGAGUCGAAGCAGCAUCUUAUAUGAUAGAUAGAGCAGUAUCUCUAAAAAAUCUGAAAUGAGACUCUUCAUAUUGAUGAAGCAGUAUCUCAAACAGUAAAAAUGAGAUUCUCUGUAUCGAGUCGAAGCAGCAUCUUAUAUGAUAGAAUUAAGAUAUUACGAACAAGGGAAUGAUACCUUAAUUGAAUCUAAGACUCUCCGAGGAUACUUAGAGCAAUAUUUCUAAAAAAUCUGAAAUGAGACUCUUCAUAUUGAUGAAGCAGUAUCUCAAACAGUAAAAAUGAGAUUCUCUGUAUCGAGUCGAAGCAGCAUCUUAUAUGAUAGAACUAAGAUAUUCCGAACAAGGGAAUGAUACCUUUAUUGAAUCUAAGACUCUCCGAGGAUACUUAGAGCAGUAUCUCUAAAAAAUCUGAAAUGAGACUCUUCAUAUUGAUGAAGCAGUAUCUCAAACAGUAAAAAUGAGAUUCUCUGUAUCGAGUCAAAGCAGCAUCUUAUAUGAUAGAAUUAAGAUAUUCCGAACAAGGGAAUGAUACCUUAAUUGAAUCUAAGACUCUCCGAGAAUACUUAGAGUAGUAUCUCUAGAAAUCUGAAAUGAGAUUCUCCAUAUUAAUGAAGCAGUAUCUCAAACAGCAAAAAUGAGACUCUCUGUAUCGAGUCGAAGCAGCAUCUUAUAUGAUAGAAUUAAGAUAUUCCAACAAGGGAAAAAUACCUUAACCGAAUCUAAGACUCUUUGAGGAUAUUAGAGCAAUAUCUCUAAAAACAAAAAUGAGAUUCUUCAAAUGAAUGAAGCAGUAUCUCAAACAGAGAAAUGAGAUUCUUCAGAUAAAUGAAGCAGUAUCUCGAAUAUUCGUCUGUUGGGGGGGAAAUAUUUAAGAAAAGACUCCUUUUGAGGGAGAUUUACUGGAAAUGCUUUGCAGGGGGAAAAGCUCAUAAGAGACUUUUUAGGGUAACCCCUACUUGGGGAGCAAUGAUUGUAAAGAAAAUACUGGGAAUAUCAUUAUUAAUCAUAAAGUUGAAAAAUGAUUUCCUGAGAAAUAAUCCCACAAGCAUAUGCAGGGUAAUAACUUCACUUGGAAAUGAGGAAUGUCUAAGAUAAUCAUGAAUGACCUUGGAUCCUGAUAUUUAAUAUUUGACUUUUGUAUGAUGUUCCACUUUGGGUGGGAAUACCAUGCAUGGGAUGAUGCAUGAGAUGCAUGUAAAUAUGCAAUUGCUGGGGAUAUUUGGAUGCGCAUGUAGGAAUGCGAAUGAUUUUUGUUUUGUUGAAAUUCCCAUUUUGUGGGAGCGUUAUGCAUGAGUAUGCUGAUGAUUGAUAUGACUGUGUUUUUUGAAUUUUCUGUUUGGUAGGAAAACCAUGUAUGGAUGAUUCGUGUGAUGCAUGUGGGAAUGCAACUGGGUAAUUGGAUAUUUUUGAAUGCUGAUGAUUGAUAUGACUGUGUUUUUUGAAUUUUCUGUUUGGUAGGAAAACCAUGUAUGGAUGAUUCGUGUGAUGCAUGUGGGAAUGCAACUGGGUAAUUGGAUAUUUUUGUAGGGUUUAAGAUUAUUCUUGACUGCCAAUGAGGUUGGACUUUAUAUGGGAACUGCUAGAUGAGGACAUAACUUGAAGGAUAUGUUACCAGACACGAACUGGGGAAAAUAAUUAAAAUGUCAGACGAGACUGAAUUUGUUUUUGUUUGUCAGACAGAAACUGAUUUUUAAAGUAGGCUACCAGACGAGAACUGGUGAAAAUAAUUGACUACCAAACGAGAACUGGUAUCGAAAUAGGUGACCUACCAGACGAGAACUAGUAUUAAGAGAUAGUUUACCAAACGAGAACUGGUAUUUGGAAAAUGAUUUGUCGUCCAAGAACUGAUUUUUGAUAUAGUUUGCCAGACGGGAACUGGAUUUUGAAAUAAGUCGCCAGACGAGAACUGGACUUAGAAAUAAAUUGUCAGACAGGAACUGAUUUUUAAAAAGGUUGCCAGACGGGAACUGGGCUUUGAAAUAAAUUGCCAGAUGGGAACUGGGCUUUUGAAAAAGGUUGCCAGAUGAGAACUGGACUUUGAAAUAAAUUGCCAAAUGGGAACUGGACUUUUGAAAAAGGUUUGCCAGAUGAAAACUGGACUUUGUAAUAAAUUUCCAGGCGAGAACUGGACUUUGUAAUAAAUUGCCAGACGGGAACUGGACUUUGGCGUCGGAUUUUGGGUUUCAAGGAUUUUUGAUGUCAGGUUCAUGUUAUGGGUUAUGCCUGAUAAAUGAUAUGAUAUGCAUGGCUUUAUGCUAGAGCAAAGCGACAUGACUAAUGCAUGAGGAUGAUUUAUGCUAUGACUUACAAGUUUUCAAAAUGCCCAUGCGUGGGUAUUGGAAGAGAAGGUUCUUUGCAAAAAGGCUUCUGUAUGCCAGAUGGUUGUUUUAUGGGAUGAUAUCAUGAUUCCCUGACACUUGUCUCAAACUCUAUGGUUGCUGACGUGCGACCAAAUUUUUUGAUUGACCAGCUUGAAAACAUGGAGAGGACUUGCUCCUAUGAGGCUCAUCUUGCCCCAAUGUGAUGGGUCUAUGCAAAAUGUUUACCUCGAAAGGAUUUUGAAAGCAAUUGUACCAUAAUUUGGAGAUGGAUUGCCCCAGAAUUUUGAUCCAUGAAAGGAUUUAUCCUUAUGAUGGGUCUAUGCAAAAUGUUUACCUCGAAAGGAUUUUGAAAGCAAUUGUACCAUAAUUUGGAGAUGGAUUGCCCCAGAAUUUUGAUCCAUGAAAGGAUUUAUCCUUGGUUAACCGAUUCUUGGAGUGGUUGACUUUCUGUGCUCUUGAGGUAGCUUGCCCCGGUAUGAGCGUUGAAGCGACUUAACUCACCCUAACUGAACAUUGAAGGGGUCUGCCCCUGGACAAUAUAACCUCUAGCUGAUUUUCCCCUAGUUAAUAGAGUCCUGAGAUGAUUUGCUCUGGAUCAACUGAUUCUUGAAAUGAUUUGCACAUUUAUUAACAGAUGUUGGAAGCUGUUUAAGACUGGCCAAUUCUUGGAGUAAUCUUCCUAUGAUCAACUGAUGUUUAGGUGGCAUGCACCUGAUUCGUGGGUUAUGAGGUAGUCUUGAUUCGGGUUAGCACCAACGAAUGUCCAAGUUCCUCUAAUUGUUUCUUAUUGUUGGAAUUUCCUUGACGUCAAGUACUGACUUGCAGUUAAAAUUGCUUGUUCAGAAAUGGUAAUUUUAAUGCGAUACUCAUGCAAGUUUUGAAAAGAAUUUAUUUGAAUGAUGUGAUAAUGUGUGACGAGUGAACCAUUUUAAUCCAAACGCAAUGAUGAUUUAACAAUGCGAAGGAUACAACAAGAAGAUUGUACCAAAGUAAAAGAUUAGCAAAUUUUUAGGAGUCAGUUUACGCAACCUUGAUGUAGUAUGCUUUCGGAAUAAACCCUACUUCAAUUAGGUCAUUUAAGGGUUGUAACGUGGCUUGGUUCACGAUUAUCGAAACAAUGGAUAUGAGGCUUAAAAUUGUUUCUGUACCCACCCUUCUUCUUGAUAAACUCCAGUCCUAUGCUCAGUUAAUUCGCCAUACACAUUCAACUUUUAAGAGAUUUUGCAGGUGUAAGAUCUCUUGAAAUGACAGACACUUUAUUUUGCUCUUCAUGGAUAUUGGUGACCCUUUGAUUCUUGAUAUGGUGGUCACUAAAUCUUGCUUUUAUUUUGUUGAGGGUUUUCGUGACCUUCUUUGAUUUUUGUUUUGAUCCCUAACUUUUGCAUGGACUGCUUUUUGAAGCUUUAGUCCAUCGGGAUUGCCCUGGUUUUUGCCUAAGUCUCCUUUUGGCGUAUCGACUUAGCGGGCUUUUUAUUGAUUCCCUUUUUUAGAAUGUGACUGCCAAGUCAUUGGUCAUUGAAGAACAACCGUCAUAACUUUUUGAUUUUUCAAGGUUCCUUCGACACUUUAGGAUGUGUAAAUGUGACUGCCAAGUCAUUGGUCAUUGAAGAACAACCGUCAUAACUUUUUGAUUUUUCAAGGUUCCUUCGACACUUUAGGAUGUGUGCGAAGAAUGUCAUGUAGUUGAUCCACAUACUAGAUAUUUCAUCUUAUGAUUUGAAUGCAUAGUCAGAUUAACUGAACACUACCCUACCCCAGGUUUAAUGUAAGGUUUUUUAGAUCUGAAAGAAACUCCUACUUCAGGCUCGAAGUGGUUGACUAGGGAUUAACUCCUUAUCUCUCCAGUGUUUGGAAAUUUGAAACAAUGCCUGUACAUCAUCAGCAAGAUUUUAUCCGAAAGCAUAUAGUCAGCAAUUAUGGGUAACUUGUUUUCGUCAUCCUCCCUCAAAUAUUUGCUAAAACAAAGGUUAUGAUAAAGAAAAGCGAAUGGGUGAAACAAUGAUGUAUUUUUGUUUUUGAUAUAAGAGAAGAAAAAUGAGCGAAUGCGAGAUAAUUAAUUUAAAACAUGCAUCAUUACUUCAUCAAUAUUACCAUUAAAAACAACAAUGUUUAAACACAAACAGCUUUUAACAACAAAGAAACUACAAUUGCAAAAAUAGACACAAAUCAGUUCAACGAUUGCCAGUGUUGAGGAUGUCUUCCUUUUUCGAUGAAACUAUCAUAGCUUCCACAAGUUGGUCUAGCUGAUUUUUCAUCGAGUCCACAUAUCCUCCCAAUGCAAUAUGACUUUGCUCCAACGGAUCCAUGAUCUUUCAAGAGCUACUUCAAGUAUGAUAUGAGUAUCGGGAAAUCAACUGUAGGCUAUGGACGAAGGGUGGAUGAGUUUUUUUGUAUAUAUUUUGUAUGAAAGGUGAUAUGCAAUGCAUGACGAUUGCAGAUGCAAUGAUAUGUGUAUGAGUUGUAGUGACAUGUUCAGGAUCACAGGUUCAAAGUGUUUUCAGUGAUGGCACAGAAUAAACAAGGCUAAAGACAGGUAUCUCCUCUGAUAAUGCGAACCCCAUGGGUAGCCUCUACAGUUUGUAGGUUCCCAGAGUCAUGGAUAUUCUCUUAGGAUGUGACUGUCGUGAGCGGAGAACUCGUCGGACAAUAGUAUCCUUAGAGAUCUCGUCUAGGUGAGCGUCUUUGUAUUAUCCCAACAAGACUCCAUGAGGAUUCUACUACACGACUCUCGAGUCCAGGGUUCUAACAAGGUUCUUAGAGUCAUAGAUCGAGGUUGGAAAUAUUACUGUAAGAUAGUAAUACGUCCAAGGGAUCUCAUCUGAUUAGGGCUUUCGUAUUAACCCAACAAGUCUGAAACUUCAUAGGUUAAUACUACAUAACCGCCGGAUAUAAUGGGUUAAAAGGUCCCCAGAGUCAUUGAUCCAGACUUGAGAAUACUAUCGUCGUGACAAAAACUCGUCGGGCAAUAAUAUCUCAAGAGAAUCUCCUUUAGGCGGGGUCUUCGUAUCUUCCCAACAAGGAAGACUCCUUGUGGGCGCCCACUAUGCAACCACCAACUUAAUCUUAUGGUUUUUCUCAGACUCGGGUAGAGAACCUAUCUCACAAAGUAUCACCAACCAGAGAACCCCAAUAAUACAUAAUCAAUAAAUCACAAUAUAAUAAUUAUGACAGAAUAAUAAUAGCAGAAUAAAAAAUAAAUAAUAGACAAACAAACAAGAUUAACACACAAUACAGAAACUGAACUAAAUUAGGCUUCACUCUCUUUUGCUUGGAGCGUCCCCAGCAGAGUCGCCAUCUGUCGCAUCUCGAAAAAAUACGAUUCCUCGCGAUGGUCGCGGAAAAAAUUUAUGUUCGAAAAGUGUCGCCACCAAACUUUAUUUAUCCCAAUGAAGGGAUAGAAAAAUAUCGAUAAAACCUUAAGGAAAUGGAAUAAUGGUCUUCGCAACCAUAUUCGGAUUCGGGAGUGGAUUACGUAAGGGGGAGGUAUUAGCACCCCUUACGUCCGUUGUACUCAACGGGAACCUUUUAGUUCUAAUGUACGUUUCGUGUGUUAAUUUAUGCUUGUUUGUUAUCUUUGGGUUAUAAGAUAUUGAAAAAUAGAAAUGAAUGAGAACCUCAGAAAGGGAAAGGGGAGGUUUUUUUAUUAGUGUGCUCGCGAAGAUACAACAAUCUCCUGCCUACGUAUCCUUAAAUAAGGAAAUCAGAGAAUUCGUAGUUCGGGGAACUACGGUUGGUUGGUGUUUUUUAAUAAACAACUAUUUAGAUCGCGUUCUAAAGGCUAAACGCUGGCUUGUCUACUCUCGGCGGAGGCUUAAGCAUUGGUUUGUUGUGUGCAUUAGAAAGGAUUAACAGUGUUCUUUCUGCAAAGAGUUUUGGUCACACGGGGGUGACAAGUUGGAUUAAUAUGUUGGAUGUUUUGAUUGGUUGAGAUGUUUUUGGUUGGAUGAUGAUUAUUUAGAUAGUCGAGUAAGACAACUCGUAUCCUAACAAACAGGAAAGGGAAUAGAAGACUCUAAUCCAUUUUAUUUUUCAUCCUUAAUUGUAAAAGGAUUUUAAUGAUGAUUAGGGUGUUUUUGAAUGGAUGACGAAUACUCGGAUAGUCGAGUAAGACAACUCGUAUCCUAAUAAUCGGGAAAGGGAAUAAAAGACUCUAGACCACGUUCUUUUGCAUCUGAGUGAUUAUGAAAAUAGGUUUGCGUAUGGUUGGUGUAUUUUAGAAUGAACGACAAGUACUUGAAUGUCUAAGUAAGAUAACUCAUAUCCAAGCAUUUGAGAAGGGGAAUUGAAAACUCAAGACCAUCUCUCUUUUCGUACAAUUUUGAUUGAUUUAUUGAUUUGCGGAAAAAUGACAAUUGUUCGACUAAUCGAGUAAGAGAAAUCGUAUUCAAACAGAUGAGGAGAGAAGUUGAAAACUCAAAGUCAUCUCCCUUUUCAUUUAGCUUAUUACGAAAAUAAUUUGAUUUAAUCGGGUUUAGAAGUUUGUAACGAAAUGACGAGUGUUUAACUGACCGAGUAAGAGAACUCGUAUUCAAACAAUCGAGGAGAGAAGUUGAAGACUCAAAGUCAUCUCCUUUUUCAUUUCAUUAUUAUAAAAGUGUUUUGAUUUAAUCGGGGUUUGUGCUUAAGUGGAUUAGAGAUGACAAUCAUUCGAUUAACCGAGUAAAAGAAUUCGUAAACAAUCGAGAGAGGAGUUGAAAACUCAAAACCAUCUCCUUUCGUAUAUGUUUGAAAAUGAUUAGGAAUUUUCUAUAGUGAUCAAUCUUUAAUUAACAAAAAUUAUUAAUUAAAAUUUAACUAACCACUUAAUUAAUAUAAUCAAAUUAUUUUGAUUAAAUCAAAUAUUCAAGGUAAUUAAAAUUAAUUAUUAAAAUUAACUAUUUAAUGAAUUUUUAAUUAACUGAUAUAUAUACCUAGAACAAAGUUGACUUGAAUAAUUGAAGCGAAUUAACGCACAAUGUGCUCAAAGUCGGUUCGUACAUAGCGACAAUGGUAUUGAAAUGUUGUACAUAAUGGACCGAAACGCGGCGAAAUUGUAUCGAUUUAGACAUAAAACUAGCCCUUAAGUUCAAAACAUUACAAAAAGAGUUACCUAAAUCGAUAAGAAACAAACCAGAAUUUAUAGAUUAAAUUAACCUAUUACUUAAACCUAUAGAAAAGCACCCAAUAAAUAAAUAGAGGAUAAAAAAGCUAAACUUAGAAAAACUUAAUGAUUUCUAACUUUUAAUUAUUAUUUUACAAAGCAAAAUUUCUUACUUGAAUGAAAAUGAUAAUUAAGAAACAAAAAGAACAAGAGAAAAGUCAACCAUUUAUUUUCCAUCACCACACUAUUAAUGCUAUAAAAUAUCAUGAUCCAUAUUCACACUACCAGUACUAUGAUAAAUUAUAUAAAACACAAAUUUACACCAUCCAUAUCAGUGGUCAUUAUGCAGAAAAAUUUAGACAUAAAACUCACACUAUCAGCAGGCAAAUCUCUAACAGAUCCAAGAGGAAAAAUCCGGAAUAAAAGAGAGCUUUGUCAUCCUUCACCAAUCAAAUUCAUAAACAAAAGUAUAUAUCCUCCAUUAACAAAACGUUUCACGGGAUCGAAUCUACAACAACAAGACAUACAAACACCGUCGUGGAAUCGAAUAAAAGACAUACACAAAGUAGUAUAAUACAAAAAAUAAAUCAUGUUGUUACCACGAUGUCGAAGGUUGUUGUCGUGAAUGGUCGGUCGAAGAAAUUCGGCAUUGAGAUUUAUGCAAUAAAGCCGACAUGUAAUGCAACCAUAUUGAAACCGAAACAAAUAUUAUAGCUAUAAGCAUGAUUUAACAGCUAGAACAGAAGCAGAAUAUGAUACAAGUUCCUGUUUAUAACAUUAUUUUCAACAUUAUAAUAUCAAAUACCAAAACGGUAUAACCCAAUCGGAAAGGAAGUAAAUAUGCAAUUGAAACGGAAACAUAAUCGAAACAUUUACACGUCGAAGCUGCGAAUGAUAUUCAAUUUUAAACGCGACAACUUAAGCACACAACAACAACAACACGAUCACAUCGAAAAUACCCCGGAAAAGAACAUUAUGAUAUUCUAAACCAACAAUCAACAUAGAUUAAUGCAACCAAAUCUAAAUCAAAACAGUGGCUAUAACCAACAGCAUAAUAUCAAGGAAAACACAACACAAACUGUUACCGUAACGCUAAACCACUUUAAUCCCGCAGCAAGAAAAUGAUAACAUUAAACAUGUAACAAAUUCAUUGCAAUAAAUACCAAACUGGUUCAAUACAACUCAAUAUGAAGUUUAAUAUGUCUAUGAAAUCAACAUGAUGCGAUUAACGGAAGGUAAAGAGAAUAACAUUAAAAAAUAUUGGAUAUAACAAUAAACAAAAGCCUUGCCCAUAAGAGCCACUUCUCCAAACAGAAAACCAACUGGACAUGACAAAUGCAAGUAGCAAUUCAAAUUAUCAUAAUAACAAAAAGCCUUCUAAAGUUGGUUACAACAACACCUUGGUAAGACAAUUUACAAACUAGAACACAAUAGGAAACCAGUAGAAAACAAUGAGGCCAUAGUCAUAUUCAAAAAACACUACCUAAUGGAAUCAACUAAAGUUGGUUACAACAACACCUUGGUAAGACAAUUUACAAACUAGAACACAAUAGGAAACCAGUAGAAAACAAUGAGGCCAUAGUCAUAUUCAAAAAACACUACCUAAUGGAAUCAAUCUCAGAAUAUCCACACUCUAUAAUACUUGCAACAGUUUGUGACACAACAGAAAUUAAUAAAAGUUUAAUGUAAUAACAGAGUUAAUCUCAAAAUCACAACACCACAAGCAUACGAAAUUGAUAUUUUUACCGAAGCGGUGUCACUGCUGUCGUUUGUUGUCGCUGCGGAGUUGGAAGGUUUAUUGCUUGGUUUCGCCUGUUGGGGAAGAGAGAAUCUGCGUCGCGGUUGGUUGUGGUGAAUUUAGAAGAGCAAACCGUGGCGGCGGCAAUGUCGGUGAACAGAGGUGGAUUCGCCUGAGUAUGAAGGAGUUCGGUUAUUGACACGGGGGUGAGGUCUGGAAUUUAUCGCCAGAAUAUAUGAGGAAGACGGAGGAUGGUUCAAAAUUGACGGUGGUUGAGCGAUGAUGCGGCAACGUAGUUGUAGUGGUGGCGAUUCACGACGGUUAUUCUAGGUUGUUUCGGCGGAAGCGAAAAUGAGGUGUUAGUGUGGUGAAAGGGUGGAAGACGAUGGAGUAUUUGAAGAAGAGGAAUGGUGAUGGUUAAGGGUGAGGCGCUCAGGGAAAGAUCCAGAGGCUUCUUCUCUUUUUCCGUUUUAAUCCUUUUCUUUAUUCUUUGAGAGAGAGAGAGUAAGUUAGUGUCUGUUGGUCCCUUUGUGAAGUCAGCAGAG
RNAcentral lists this long non-coding RNA (11582 nucleotides) under Lathyrus oleraceus (garden pea). RNAcentral's name for it is "Pisum sativum (pea) long non-coding RNA (PSAT_LNC031223)". Lineage: Eukaryota; Viridiplantae; Streptophyta; Magnoliopsida; Fabales; Fabaceae. The record is from RNAcentral.